This 228-nucleotide ribosomal RNA is filed under the name uncultured Pseudomonas sp. RNAcentral describes it as "partial 16S ribosomal RNA". It matches the Rfam family "Bacterial small subunit ribosomal RNA", at positions 125 to 354 of the family's 1533-position model. Lineage: Bacteria; Pseudomonadati; Pseudomonadota; Gammaproteobacteria; Pseudomonadales; Pseudomonadaceae. The record is from RNAcentral.
UCUGCCUGGUAGUGGGGGACGAACGUUUCGAAAGGAACGCUAAUACCGCAUACGUCCUACGGGAGAAGCAGGGACCUUCGGGCCUUGCGCUAUCAGAUGAGCCUAGGUCGGAUUAGCUAGUUGGUGAGGUAAUGGCUCACCAAGGCGACGAUCCGUAACUGGUCUGAGAGGAUGAUCAGUCACACUGGAACUGAGACACGGUCCAGACUCCUACGGGAGGCAGCAGGG